This is a non-coding RNA of Lolium perenne, 223 nucleotides long. The record is from RefSeq and is a predicted model, not a curated record. Lineage: Eukaryota; Viridiplantae; Streptophyta; Magnoliopsida; Poales; Poaceae.
GCUCUAUUAGGUGAGCGCUUUCUUUGUAGUUUGGGGUCUCUAUGAGUUUUGUGUGGUAUUGCUGGUUGGGGUCGUUGUGAGCCUCCAAAGUGCAUUUUAGCCAACAUCACUGGCUAUGUUGUUGGGAGUAGUCCGCAAAAGAGGUUCACCAUUUUUUUCCAUAAAAACUUGGCUAUUCAAUUAUUCUUUUGCUCUUUGUAACUGACUGAUUGAGCUCCUGCUA